GUCGAACGCUGGCGGCGGGCCUAACACAUGCAAGUCGAACGAGUGGCGAACGGGUGAGUAAUACGUGGGUAACUUGCCCUCUUGUUGGGAUAAGCCUUGGAAACGGGGUCUAAUACCGAAUAAAGGGGGAUGGGCUCGCGGCCUAUCAGCUGGUUGGUGGGGUGAUGGCCUACCAAGGCGGUGACGGGUAGCCGGCCUGAGAGGGUGACCGGCCAUAUGGAGACUGAGAGACGGCCCAGGCUGGUACGGGGGGCAGCAGUGGGGGAUAUUGCACAAUGCGGGAGAGCCCGUGGCGGCUGCGCCGCGUAGGCGAUGAAGGCUUUCGGGUUGUAAAGCGCUUUCGCAGUCGAGGGGUAGGUGGAGAAGAAGCACCGGCUAACUACGUGCCAGCCGCCGCGGUAAUAC
This 405-nucleotide ribosomal RNA is filed under the name uncultured bacterium. RNAcentral's name for it is "partial 16S ribosomal RNA". It matches the Rfam family "Bacterial small subunit ribosomal RNA", at positions 28 to 526 of the family's 1533-position model. The record is from RNAcentral.